CUUUAAUAAGGCGAUGGAGCUCGCCUUAAAUGCCUGAGAUGCUGAUGGCUCCUGCUUUUAA
Molecule: non-coding RNA, 61 nt
Filed under: Caldanaerobius fijiensis
Lineage: Bacteria; Bacillati; Bacillota; Clostridia; Thermoanaerobacterales; Thermoanaerobacteraceae
Also listed under: 1 other name
Description: Fluoride sequence
Rfam family: Fluoride riboswitch aptamer (crcB RNA motif)
Source: RNAcentral